RNAcentral lists this ribosomal RNA (274 nucleotides) under uncultured bacterium. Its description in RNAcentral is "partial 16S ribosomal RNA". It matches the Rfam family "Bacterial small subunit ribosomal RNA", at positions 523 to 796 of the family's 1533-position model. The record is from RNAcentral.
AUACGGAGGGCGCAAGCGUUAUCCGGAUUCAUUGGGUUUAAAGGGUGCGCAGGCGGAAUGAUAAGUCAGUGGUGAAAUCCUACAGCUUAGCUGUAGAACUGCCAUUGAUACUGUCAUUCUUGAGUACACUUGAAGUGGGCGGAAUGUAUCAUGUAGCGGUGAAAUGCAUAGAUAUGAUACAGAACUCCGAUAGCGAAGGCAGCUCACUAAAUUGUAACUGACGCUCAGGCACGAAAGCGUGGGGAGCAAACAGGAUUAGAAACCCUAGUAGUCC